GGUUCGUUAGCCAAGUGGUUAGGCACCGGUCUGCAAAACCGUCUACGGCGGUUCGAUUCCGCCACGAACCUCAC
Molecule: transfer RNA, 74 nt
Filed under: Porphyromonas endodontalis ATCC 35406
Lineage: Bacteria; Pseudomonadati; Bacteroidota; Bacteroidia; Bacteroidales; Porphyromonadaceae
Description: tRNA-Cys
Rfam family: tRNA
About the family: Transfer RNA (tRNA) molecules are approximately 80 nucleotides in length. Their secondary structure includes four short double-helical elements and three loops (D, anti-codon, and T loops).
Source: RNAcentral